Molecule: unclassified non-coding RNA, 379 nt
Filed under: uncultured Gammaproteobacteria bacterium
Lineage: Bacteria; Pseudomonadati; Pseudomonadota; Gammaproteobacteria
Description: contains 16S-23S intergenic spacer region
Source: RNAcentral
UCCGGUUCUUCACCAGCAGUCUCCUUAGAGUCCCCACCAUUACAUGUUGGCAACUAAGGAUAAGGGUUGCGCUCGUUACGGGACUUAACCCAACAUCUCACAACACGAGCUGACGACAGCCAUGCAGCACCUGUCUCUAAAUUCCUUUCGGCACUCCCGCAUCUCUGCAGGAUUCUUAGGAUGUCAAGGGUAGGUAAGGUUCUUCGCGUUGCAUCGAAUUAAACCACAUGCUCCACCGCUUGUGCGGGCCCCCGUCAAUUCCUUUGAGUUUUAACCUUGCGGCCGUACUCCCCAGGCGGAGAACUUAUCGCGUUAGCUUCGAUACUAAUCCGCUCGCGCAGACCAACAUCUAGUUCUCAUCGUUUACAGCGUGGACUAC